AUACAGAGGGUGCAAGCGUUAAUCGGAAUUACUGGGCGUAAAGCGUCGCGUAGGUGGUUUGUUAAGUUGGAUGUGAAAUCCCCGGGCUCAACCUGGGAACUGCAUUCAAAACUGACUGACUAGAGUAUGGUAGAGGGUGGUGGAAUUUCCUGUGUAGCGGUGAAAUGCGUAGAUAUAGGAAGGAACACCAGUGGCGAAGGCGACCACCUGGACUGAUACUGACACUGAGGUGCGAAAGCGUGGGGAGC
This 248-nucleotide ribosomal RNA is filed under the name uncultured bacterium. RNAcentral's name for it is "partial 16S ribosomal RNA". It matches the Rfam family "Bacterial small subunit ribosomal RNA", at positions 523 to 769 of the family's 1533-position model. The record is from RNAcentral.